CUUGAAAUCUAAAGUAAGCGAAUUGAAGCAACUGAGGCAACGAGUUACUCGCCGACGCUGUAAUUCGCAACAACAAAUCAGUAGUCUAAUUCGCAGUCGUUAUUGUAACACCUGCAAUGUCACCAGCUGCAUCUUCGGCUGCAAAUGAACACGAUACGCAGACAAUAAAAAGAUGUAUGCCCCUAGUUCAGAAUCCACUUCAGCUGCUCGAAUGAAAUAUGUGCUCGAGAACAAAAACAAAAAUAGCGAACAAGAGGAACGACAUCCUAUCGACGCAUUUUAAAGUGACUCACGCCUACAUUAAAAUCAUGUUCACCAUAUUAUCAAUAUUUGGCAAAAGGGCAAUUUUUAAACUCAUACCACUUCCAAUUCUAAUUAAUCUAUGCUUUUCUGUUAAAUAGUUAACAACAGUACAAAGUAUUCACAGGUACCCUCUUCAAAACAAAAAAAUAUUUUCUGUAUGUUUUGCGAUUAUUGCUUUGUUUCGCAGCACAUCGCUAAACGAUUUUAAUUGUAAACUUAAUUUAGUUCUCAUAUAAGUGAAUAUUGUAUUCUUUUUAAUAAUAAAGUUACUUUAACCCCUAUAGAAACAAA
Melitaea cinxia (Glanville fritillary) is the source of this 594-nucleotide long non-coding RNA. RefSeq lists it as uncharacterized. The record is from RefSeq and is a predicted model, not a curated record. The transcript is spliced from 2 exons. NCBI's taxonomy places the organism in Eukaryota, Metazoa, Arthropoda, Insecta, Lepidoptera, Nymphalidae.